GCCCCUUGGACAAAAUUAUGCAAAAUGAUGAGAAGAAAAAGUUGAGAAAAUUGAGGGAACUUGCUGAAUCGCGAGAUGAACGGCUGCUCGAGUUGAAAAAAGAGAUUCUGAAGCUCGAAGUUCAGCACCGCGUCCUGGAGAAGGAAAAAUUGAAGUACAGAAAGAAAUUCGAGGAGGCGGUACUGCGUGGCAUCGCCAGAUUAAAUUCUCAACACCAAUUGAUGAAUAAUGCAACACCGUCUUCGUCGAUUCAAGAGGAUGAGGAUGAGGAUGAAAAUUGUUCAGAAGUCUCAAGGAAUGAUACCCCCGAUCCGGGAAACACCCCGACAUCUAGUCUCGCUGGAAAAAAACGAAAAUACGCGAGACGAAGACGGAGCAGUGAUUGACUUUUGUUUUUACCCAGUCUGUGAAAAUUGAUGGUUCCCUUUGGACGUUCUCUUUAAAAUUGAAUUUAUUUUGAUAGAGGAGGUAAAUUAAUUGGUAGGAUAUGGCAGCUGCCAAGUGUCCAGAACCCGUGGAGGAGCAGAAGGUGAUGAAGGAUCGGAAAAUGACAGACGCUGAGCGCUUGGUAAAAUUGGAGAAGGAGGUGACUCUCCUGCGCAAUGAUUUCGACAGAAUGAAGUGGGAACAGGCAGUAGCAGAAACGGCAAUAGGAAGAGCCAUUAUCCGAGGUUCAGCAUCACUCGGAAACGGUGGAUUCUGUCCAAUGGUUGACUCCGCAGGUCCUGUAAAAAAUCGUCAAGUAAUGGAUGACCCUCAGAAAAAUCCCUGCACGAAAAUUCCAUCCCAAUUAUCCGGAAAAAACGCCAUAACUGAUGGAAAACAGAAACAAGGGAAAGAAGAAUGUGGAUACUUCACUCUCGGAUAAUUUUGAUAUUACUCGUCUACCACUCGAGACUUUCAAUAAUGAAUACUCUGGAUUUGCCGAUUAAUUAAAAAAUUCCAUAAUCCAGUGAUUACCCCUCAGAAUAAAUUUCACCCGCAAGGUGUGUAAAAAGUUUUCUCCAGUGAAGAGUUGUCUGCGUCUUCCUAGCAACAGAGAAAAGCCAUCGUGUCCUAAUAAAUACAGCUCCAGUAGCAGCACACGUACAGAGAGAGGGUUGGAUGGUGGUGAUGCACUUGAUCCCGCCCCAGCGCUCGCAGAAGGACUUCGCCACCGGCUAGAGGAAGGAGGGACAAACGAGGACGCGUAUUACAUACGCGUGUCAUACACCCAUAGCCGAGUUCCGGUAAAAAACUCACGCACGACGCCACGUACUCCAGAGUCGAACAAAGGCACAGUCUGCAACCCCUUUCGUGUCCCUCCACCAGUUCUACGAAGCCCUCUUUCCCUCUCGGUCCACUGUGCAUAACGUCCAAUCUUCAAUUUUUCCUUUGCCAAUCUCACCGACUCUCUUCACACGGCUAAAAAUUUAUACUCAAAUUCACUCUCAUGUUCUACACACAAAAACAAUUAAAUCAUCUAAAUUAUCAUGUCUACACUGUUUAAAAUAUACACAGUGGAGUUUCUAGGAAUAUAAUAGAGAUAGAUAGAUAGAUAGACA
This is an RNA transcript of Fopius arisanus, 1544 nucleotides long. RefSeq lists it as uncharacterized. The record is from RefSeq and is a predicted model, not a curated record. The transcript has 3 exons. NCBI's taxonomy places the organism in Eukaryota, Metazoa, Arthropoda, Insecta, Hymenoptera, Braconidae.